This 468-nucleotide ribosomal RNA is filed under the name uncultured bacterium. RNAcentral describes it as "partial 16S ribosomal RNA". It matches the Rfam family "Bacterial small subunit ribosomal RNA", at positions 28 to 506 of the family's 1533-position model. The record is from RNAcentral.
GACGAACGCUGGCGGCGUGCUUAACACAUGCAAGUCGAACGGAAAGGCCCUGCUUGCAGGGUGCUCGAGUGGCGAACGGGUGAGUAACACGUGGGUGAUCUGCCCCUUACUUUGGGAUAAGCCUGGGAAACUGGGUCUAAUACUGGAUAGGACCAUGCUGUAGGUGGUGUGGUGGAAAGAUUAGAUUCGGUAAGGGAUGAGCUCGCGGCCUAUCAGCUUGUUGGUGGGGUAAUGGCCUACCAAGGCGUCGACGGGUAGCCGGCCUGAGAGGGUGGACGGCCACAUUGGGACUGAGAUACGGCCCAGACUCCUACGGGAGGCAGCAGUGGGGAAUAUUGCACAAUGGGCGCAAGCCUGAUGCAGCGACGCCGCGUGGGGGAUGACGGCCUUCGGGUUGUAAACUCCUUUCAGCCAUGACGAAGCCCUUGUGGUGACGGUAGUGGUAGAAGAAGCACCGGCUAACUACGU